CCCGUCUCCCCAGCACAGACUCGGGAGCAACUCCAGAGCCUCCUGCAAGAUGCUGGUGGUUCUACUGACAGCGGCCCUGCUGGCCCUGAGCUCAGCUGAGAGCUCAUACAAAGAGUCUGAGGACCAACACCAGGGCUUUGGUCUGGCACACGAGACUCCAGUGGAUGAUGAUGUUAAAGAUGAAGGCGAUGGUGAAGAUGAAGGCGAUGGUGAAGAUGAGGGUGAUAGCAAAGAAGAGGGUGAUGAUAAACCUGAGAAACCACCCAAGCCACAUCCUCGUCCUCCUCCUCCUGGACCACGUCCAAGACCACCCCAACCCGGAGGCCAGCCUAAGCCUCCUCCACCUCCUCCUCCUGGACAACAACAUGGACCACCCAAACAAGGAGACGAGAAGCAGAAUCGCACUACUCGUUCUUUAAAUCAGCAAGGUCCACCCCCACAAGGAGGUCAGCAGCAGCCCAGUGGUCCUUCUCCUCCUGGAAACCAGCAGGGCCCACCCCAACAAGGAGGCCCACAGAAUCGCCCCCCUCGUUCCUUACAUCAGCAAGGUCCAGCCCCACAAGGAGGUCAGCAGCAGCCCAGUGGUCCUUCUCCUCCUGGAAACCAACAGGGCCCACCUCAACAAGGACGCCCACAGAAUCGCCCUCCUCGCUCCUUAAAUCAGCAAGGUCCAGCCCCACAAGGAGGUCAGCAGCAGCCCAGUGGUCCUUCUCCUCCUGGAAACCAGCAGGGCCCACCCCAACAAGGAGGCCCACAGAAUCGCCCUCCUCGUUCUUUAUAUAAGCAAGGUCCACCCCCACAAGGAGGUCAGCAGCGGCCCAAUCGUCCUCCUCGUCCUGGAAACCAGCAAGGUCCACCCCAGGAAGAAGGUAAGCAGCUGUAUUUUCCUCAUGACAUCCUGGAAGGCCCCACUGUGCGUCCCAACUUCCCUCAAAGGAUAAACCACCCAGAAUACCCCAGGGAUUGAGCUCAAUGAUCUCAGUGCAGUUCCAGAGUGAAUGAGAAGGUGACGUCCUUCAGAACAUGACCCCGUGGGAAGAACGCAG
Molecule: long non-coding RNA, 1046 nt
Filed under: Heterocephalus glaber (naked mole-rat)
Lineage: Eukaryota; Metazoa; Chordata; Mammalia; Rodentia; Bathyergidae
Description: lncRNA (ENSHGLG00000042540.1)
Source: RNAcentral